AGCAAUGGUGGGCGGAGCGUAACGGGAUCUCGCUGCUUAGUAACAACAGCGUACGCCACUACUCUCCCAACUACCGCCCGACACCCAACUGGUGCUCCUCAACCAAAAUGUCUGACGAACAACCCGCCGCAUCUGUCGAGACUGAGGUUGCGCCCGCGUGCCCAGAGACCAACAACGCCUUCACACUGUGCGUGACGGAGAAUGGAGAGACCAACUGUGCGGCACUGUUGGAGGCCCACCAGGAGUGUCUCAAGAAGCUAGGUCUUCAAGGUUAAGGUGGUGUAGGAGCAGCCCGGGGUGAUGGCUGGAGACCACUCCCGGUUUGGCCGUUGUUCCAGUCUUGCCUCGGAUGACACUCUUGAUCACCAGCAAUUUUAUAAAUAUAUUUGUUAGUUUAGAGAAAAUACUCUAACCCUUCCAUUUAUGACAAUAAAUAAAUACACGGUAGGAUCCUCCUCAAAGUCAUGUAUAUUAUGUUCCAUAUUAGUGAAAUACAAAAUAAACUUUCAUUUGUUGAAAGUUGAUGCACUAAACCAUGGUAGAGCUCACGUGUUCUCCGUCAGGUACUACUGUAGGGACAGGUCUCAGUCCACGGUUAUCCUACAUUGUGUGGGGUCUAUCCAUAGGCCACAUUCGUCCUGGGUUGUGAUAUGUCUUGUGUUGACACUUUAAUUGCUUAGAAAUAAAGAGGGAUUUUUU
Long non-coding RNA from Homarus americanus (American lobster), 699 nucleotides. RefSeq lists it as uncharacterized. The transcript has 4 exons. The record is from RefSeq and is a predicted model, not a curated record. Lineage: Eukaryota; Metazoa; Arthropoda; Malacostraca; Decapoda; Nephropidae.